Molecule: transfer RNA, 58 nt
Filed under: Acidimicrobiaceae bacterium
Lineage: Bacteria; Bacillati; Actinomycetota; Acidimicrobiia; Acidimicrobiales; Acidimicrobiaceae
Description: tRNA-Ser
Rfam family: tRNA
About the family: Transfer RNA (tRNA) molecules are approximately 80 nucleotides in length.
Source: RNAcentral
UGGUUAGAGCGCACCCCUGAUAAGGGUGAGGUCGCUGGUUCGACUCCAGCUAGCCCCA